This 468-nucleotide ribosomal RNA is filed under the name uncultured bacterium. Its description in RNAcentral is "partial 16S ribosomal RNA". It matches the Rfam family "Bacterial small subunit ribosomal RNA", at positions 28 to 507 of the family's 1533-position model. The record is from RNAcentral.
GACGAACGCUGGCGGCGUGCUUAACACAUGCAAGUCGAACGGAAAGGCCCUGCUUUUGUGGGGUGCUCGAGUGGCGAACGGGUGAGUAACACGUGAGUAACCUGCCCUUGACUUUGGGAUAACUUCAGGAAACUGGGGCUAAUACCGGAUAGGAGCUCCUGCUGCAUGGUGGGGGUUGGAAAGUUUCGGCGGUUGGGGAUGGACUCGCGGGUGAUCAGCUUGUUGGUGGGGUAGUGGCUUACCAAGGCUUUGACGGGUAGCCGGCCUGAGAGGGUGACCGGCCACAUUGGGACUGAGAUACGGCCCAGACUCCUACGGGAGGCAGCAGUGGGGAAUAUUGCACCCUGGGCGGAAGCCUGAUGCAGCAACCCCGCGUGCGGGAUGACGGCCUUCGGGUUGUAAACCGCUUUCGCCUGUGACGAAGCGUUAGUGACGGUAAUGGGUAAAGAAGCACCGGCUAACUACGUG